AACUAACGCUGGCGGCGUGCCUAACACAUGCAAGUCGUACGAGAAAGCCGGCUUCGGCUGGUGAGUAAAGUGGCGCACGGGUGAGUAACGCGUGGAUAAUCUGCCCUUAAGUGUGGAAUAACGUACCGAAAGGUGCGCUAAUACCGCAUAAUGCCUGGCAACACAAGUUGUCCGGCCAAAGAAGGCCUCUGUUUACAAGCUUUCGCUUCAGGAUGAGUCCGCGUACCAUUAGCUUGUGUGGGUAAUGGCCUACCAAGGCUGCGAUGGUUAGCUGGUCUGAGAGGAUGAUCAGCCACACUGGAACUGAGACACGGUCCAGACUCCUACGGGAGGCAGCAGUGAGGAAUAUUGCGCAAUGGGGCAACCCUGACGCAGCAACGCCGCGUGAGUGAGGAAGGUUUUCGGACUGUAAAGCUCUGUCGAGCGGAAGAAGUGUACCAUGGCUAAUAUCCAUGAUAUUUGACGGUACCGCUAGAGG
This 478-nucleotide ribosomal RNA is filed under the name uncultured bacterium. Its description in RNAcentral is "bacterial SSU rRNA". It matches the Rfam family "Bacterial small subunit ribosomal RNA", at positions 29 to 487 of the family's 1533-position model. The record is from RNAcentral.